This 253-nucleotide ribosomal RNA is filed under the name uncultured bacterium. RNAcentral describes it as "partial 16S ribosomal RNA". It matches the Rfam family "Bacterial small subunit ribosomal RNA", at positions 524 to 776 of the family's 1533-position model. The record is from RNAcentral.
UACGAAGGGGGCUAGCGUUGUUCGGAAUUACUGGGCGUAAAGCGCACGUAGGCGGGUCGUUAAGGCAGGGGUGAAAUCCCGGAGCUCAAAUCCGGAACUGCCUUUGAUACUGGCGAUCUAGAGAUCGAGAGAGGUGAGUGGAAUUCCGAGGGUAGAGGUGAAAUUCGUAGAUAUUCGCAAGAACACCAGUGGCGAGGGCGGCUCCCUGUCUCGAUAAUGACUCUGAGGCGCCAAAGCGUGGGGUGUAAACAGG